UACGAAGGGGGCAAGCGUUGUUCGGAAUUACUGGGCGUAAAGGGCGCGUAGGCGGUGCGCUAAGUCAGAUGUGAAAGCCCUGGGCUCAACCCGGGAAUUGCAUUUGAUACUGGCGCGCUUGAAUCCAGGAGAGGUUGGUGGAAUUCCCAGUGUAGAGGUGAAAUUCGUAGAGAUUGGGAAGAACACCGGUGGCGAAAGCGGCUCACUGGACCACAACUGACGCUGAGGCGCGAAAGCUAGGGGAGCAAACAGG
RNAcentral lists this ribosomal RNA (253 nucleotides) under uncultured bacterium. RNAcentral describes it as "partial 16S ribosomal RNA". It matches the Rfam family "Bacterial small subunit ribosomal RNA", at positions 524 to 776 of the family's 1533-position model. The record is from RNAcentral.